This 392-nucleotide RNase P RNA is filed under the name Actinobacteria bacterium HGW-Actinobacteria-5. RNAcentral describes it as "RNase P RNA component class A". It matches the Rfam family "Bacterial RNase P class A". Rfam says of the family: Ribonuclease P (RNase P) is a ubiquitous endoribonuclease, found in archaea, bacteria and eukarya as well as chloroplasts and mitochondria. Its best characterised activity is the generation of mature 5'-ends of tRNAs by cleaving the 5'-leader elements of precursor-tRNAs. Lineage: Bacteria; Bacillati; Actinomycetota. The record is from RNAcentral.
CGAGUCGGCCGGGUGAUCGCUGCGCGAGCAGAGGAAAGUCCGGACUCCACAGAGCAGGGUGGUGGGUAACGCCCACCCGGGGUGACCCGCGGGAAAGUGCCACAGAGAACAGACCGCCCCUCCGCAGGGAGGAGCAAGGGUGAAACGGUGGUGCAAGAGACCACCAGCACCCCAGGUGACUGGGGUGGCUCGGUAAACCCCACCCGGAGCAAGACCGAGAAGGGUCCGAGUCUUCGGACGCGGACCCGCGGACGCCGUUUGAGCGCUGCUCGCGCGAGGCGCCCGGGUUGGUCGCACGCCGGCAACGGCGAAGGCGGUUGGCAACAGCCGUCGCAGAUGGAUGAUCACCGCCCGUGAGGGCACAGAAUCCGGCUUACAGGCCGGCUCGUCCC